GUCCUUGUUGUGUUGACAUUUCUUGCGCGUCAGAGUUUUUCCGUGCUUGGAUAUUUUAGUCAUUUUAGAUGAAAUAUAACUAACUCAACUAACUGCUUAUGCUACGAAAUAAGGUGAACACUGGGUAAGGCGGCUGUAAAGUCAUGUCCUGGCCACAGUGGAAGCAGAAGCCUAAAACUAUAGCAGGCACACCAUUGGCAAGGCUAUCUACUCAAGUAGCGUUUGGACUAGUGGGAUCCUCACUACUGGUUGGUGCAGCUCUAUACAUAUCACUUUCUGAUGAUAGGAAAGAAAAAAUUCAGAAUACUGCUAGCAACUUUACUGAGGAAGAACAUAAGAUAUUGAAUGAGAUGAAGAUGCGAAAACUGUUGCCGGUACGGCCGAGUCAAAAGGUCAAAACCGAUGAAGACUACGACAAGGAGCACCACCGGUUUGCGUAGUUGCUUUACUGCAGUGUAAAGGGACAGCAUCCAGCUCCAGAGGAGUGCAGUGGUAGUGUGAACGGAUUGUGUGUGACAGCGUCCGUGUCACACUGUGAUAAAGACAGAACAGUGAACUGAAGGACCGCAGUGCCCGUGUGUGAGUGUUUCUGGAAGCACCCUCCACUGAGUAUCUGUAUCCACCGGACGCCAGGACGGUCUAACUGCCGUGACACUGGGUGUAUUACGGGCCGGCCAUGUCUCAGGCCAGUCAGCGGGUCAGCAAACUGAGUCGGCGGGGCGGCAGGAGCGGCCGCCAGCCGCCCACCUCGGCCCCGGAGCCGCCCGACCUGGACACGAGCGACGACUUCACGCCCAGUCUCUCCUUCGCUCGGUAAUUGAACUGUGGGGGAUUUUGUAUGGCUGAGUAGAGUAGAUUUGUGAGCAUUGCUGUUGAUGAAGCUGUCUAGUUCAGCAUUCAGCAUUAUUAAGAAAGAGGCGCUUUUGAGUGAAUAGAUACUUUGUCGCAGCUGUGCUAGGAACAUUUUUACUGGUUCCUUGCGAUGAAGUUCGGUUCGCCAUGCAGGCAUAGAAACUAUUGAAUAUCAAUGUGCAAUUGAGUAACUAGUAUGCAGUGUUAUUGUUUGUGAAACUGAGCUCUGUUGUGCUAAUACAUUGUGACCGACA
This 1106-nucleotide long non-coding RNA is filed under the name Amphibalanus amphitrite. Its description in RNAcentral is "uncharacterized LOC122392912". The record is from RNAcentral. Lineage: Eukaryota; Metazoa; Arthropoda; Thecostraca; Balanomorpha; Balanidae.